AGAGUUUGAUCAUGGCUCAGAACGAACGCUGGCGGCAGGCUUAACACAUGCAAGUCGAGCGCCCCGCAAGGGGAGCGGCAGACGGGUGAGUAACGCGUGGGAAUCUACCCUUUUCUACGGAAUAACGCAGGGAAACUUGUGCUAAUACCGUAUACGCCCUUCGGGGGAAAGAUUUAUCGGGAAAGGAUGAGCCCGCGUUGGAUUAGCUAGUUGGUGGGGUAAAGGCCUACCAAGGCGACGAUCCAUAGCUGGUCUGAGAGGAUGAUCAGCCACAUUGGGACUGAGACACGGCCCAAACUCCUACGGGAGGCAGCAGUGGGGAAUAUUGGACAAUGGGCGCAAGCCUGAUCCAGCCAUGCCGCGUGAGUGAUGAAGGCCCUAGGGUUGUAAAGCUCUUUCACCGGUGAAGAUAAUGACGGUAACCGGAGAAGAAGCCCCGGCUAACUUCGUGCCAGCAGCCGCGGUAAUAC
Molecule: ribosomal RNA, 470 nt
Filed under: uncultured bacterium
Lineage: Bacteria
Description: bacterial SSU rRNA
Rfam family: Bacterial small subunit ribosomal RNA
Source: RNAcentral